RNAcentral lists this ribosomal RNA (468 nucleotides) under uncultured bacterium. RNAcentral's name for it is "partial 16S ribosomal RNA". It matches the Rfam family "Bacterial small subunit ribosomal RNA", at positions 28 to 507 of the family's 1533-position model. The record is from RNAcentral.
GACGAACGCUGGCGGCGUGCUUAACACAUGCAAGUCGAACGGAAAGGCCCUGCUUUUGUGGGGUGCUCGAGUGGCGAACGGGUGAGUAACACGUGAGUAACCUGCCCUUGACUUUGGGAUAACUUCAGGAAACUGGGGCUAAUACCGGAUAGGAGCUCCUGCUGCAUGGUGGGGGUUGGAAAGUUUCGGCGGUUGGGGAUGGACUCGCGGCUUAUCAGCUUGUUGGUGGGGUAGUGGCUUACCAAGGCUUUGACGGGUAGCCGGCCUGAGAGGGUGACCGGCCACAUUGGGACUGGGAUACGGCCCAGACUCCUACGGGAGGCAGCAGUGGGGAAUAUUGCACAAUGGGCGGAAGCAUGAUGCAGCAACGCCGCGUGCGGGAUGACGGCCUUCGGGUUGUAAACCGCUUUCGCCUGUGACGAAGCGUGAGUGACGGUAAUGGGUAAAGAAGCACCGGCUAACUACGUG